UACGAAGGGGGCUAGCGUUGCUCGGAUUGACUGGGCGUAAAGGGCGCGUAGGCGGUUCGUACAGUCAGACGUGAAAUUCCUGGGCUCAACCUGGGGGCUGCGUUUGAUACGUGCGGACUUGAGUGCGGAAGAGGGUCGUGGAAUUCCCAGUGUAGAGGUGAAAUUCGUAGAUAUUGGGAAGAACACCGGUGGCGAAGGCGGCCUGCUGGGCUAUGGCUGACACUGAGGCGCGACAGCGUGGGGAGCAAACAGG
RNAcentral lists this ribosomal RNA (253 nucleotides) under uncultured bacterium. RNAcentral's name for it is "partial 16S ribosomal RNA". It matches the Rfam family "Bacterial small subunit ribosomal RNA", at positions 524 to 776 of the family's 1533-position model. The record is from RNAcentral.